GUUGCAGAUCUGUUGGUUGUGAAUUUUGUUAUUGGCCAAAUCUGGACAAUCUGUACCUGCAUUUUUGGAGUACUAUGAAUUCUAUAGGAUUCCAAUACUGAACAAGCCCCAGAACAGGGCUGAUUGUUGUCAUGUUUCGAAACCUAAAGAUGGUAUGGUAACAACGGUCGCCAAAGCCAAAAAUAUCAUGCGAAGUACCUCACUCAAACACACACACACACACACUACGCUAGCAUACAUGUGCAUACACAUAGGUAAUUUAAGCUAACGUUAGCAUACUUUUAAAACACCCUUUUAACUAUAAGCAAUCGUUAACCUGAAAUCAAUAGCUAUCGGUAGUAGCCUAAUAUUAAUUUUAAACAAACCGUAACGGGCUAAAUAACUCCAUAUUGCUAUUAUCAGUAACUUACCAGGGGCCUGUUGCACAAAACCAGGAUAAGGGAUUAAGUUGGGAUAUCCAAGUUAUCCUGGAUUAAUUUAGCUUUGACUUGGUUGCACAAAAGCAGGCUGAAUUAAACCCAGCCAAGUAACCAUGGAGAUUUAUUCUUUGCAGCUAGCCUGCUCCAGAGCAGGCUAACAGCCAGGCUAAGAUUAAUCCUGGAGUCUUGUGUUAAAUCAGCUGCCGCUCUGAUCCGAAAUAAACGUCUUUAACAGUUGUUCCGUUGUCUUCUGAAUGUUUUCUACUUCAUUGUUAACAUGCAUUACUUGUCACUAUUGCUGUGACGAGUUUGAUUUAAAUACUACUACUGCAGUUUAGAUGGUUUGUAAUGGUUGAUGAAUUUGCAACGGGGAUUUCAAUGAAGUCAGUGAUGAGGGCAUUAUAUAAAGUCCCAUUCACCUGUGUUUCUCCCUGCACCAUGGCAUGCCCAUUUCUGAAUGACGUUUUGGAUGAAGAAGCGCUGAUAUUUAGACGUGCUUUCAAACGUGAGAGGGUGUUUCGGGAUAGAUCAGACCCUUAAUCUUUUCCCGACGAGUACCUGCAUGAGAGGUAUCGAUUUACUGGAGAUGGAAUCCGUUAUUGUGUGGCACUGCGUUUUUUUAGAAGCGGCAUGUUUGUAUAUGCCGUGGGACAUGCCGAAAUUCUAAAUAAAGGCACUAUUUGCCGUUGUGUCAGAAGCGUGUUUGGCACUGAAAUCCUUGGCACACAUCUUUAUUACAUUCGCUGGCCACAGAAGAAUGUGUUUCAUCAAAGAGAUUUCUACAAGAUUGCAGAUGAUCUGUGAUGCUGCCUGCAUCAUUACCAAUGUGGAGGCAAAGUGGCCUGGGUCCGUCCAUGAC
Esox lucius (northern pike) is the source of this 1278-nucleotide long non-coding RNA. The record is from Ensembl. Lineage: Eukaryota; Metazoa; Chordata; Actinopteri; Esociformes; Esocidae.